GACGAACGCUGGCGGCGUGCCUAAUACAUGCAAGUUGAGCGCUGAAGGUUGGUACUUGUACCAACUGGAUGAGCAGCGAACGGGUGAGUAACGCGUGGGGAAUCUGCCUUUGAGCGGGGGACAACAUUUGGAAACGAAUGCUAAUACCGCAUAAAAACUUUAAACACAAGUUUUAAGUUUGAAAGAUGCAAUUGCAUCACUCAAAGAUGAUCCCGCGUUGUAUUAGCUAGUUGGUGAGGUAAAGGCUCACCAAGGCGAUGAUACAUAGCCGACCUGAGAGGGAGAUCGGCCACAUUGGGACUGAGACACGGCCCAAACGCCUACGGGAGGCAGCAGUAGGGAAUCUUCGGCAAUGGACGAAAGACUGACCGAGCAACGACGCGGGAGAGAAGAAGGGUUUCGGAUCGUAAAACUCGGUUGGUAGAGAAGAACGUUGGUGAGAGUGGAAAGCUCAUCAAGUGACGUUAACUACCCAGAAAGGGACGGCUAACUACGUG
This 497-nucleotide ribosomal RNA is filed under the name uncultured bacterium. RNAcentral describes it as "partial 16S ribosomal RNA". It matches the Rfam family "Bacterial small subunit ribosomal RNA", at positions 28 to 507 of the family's 1533-position model. The record is from RNAcentral.